This is a non-coding RNA of Camelina sativa (false flax), 383 nucleotides long. The record is from RefSeq and is a predicted model, not a curated record. Lineage: Eukaryota; Viridiplantae; Streptophyta; Magnoliopsida; Brassicales; Brassicaceae.
CCUAACCACUGCUCUUUCACCAAACCUCUCUCCGUCUCUAUUUCUCUGCUUCUCUCUCAACGCCGUUGAUUCGCCAUCGUCGCUACCGUUUGUCUUGAGGUUUACGACUUUUUGGCUAAUCUCCUCUGUGGAGAGCAAUGACUAAUACUCGUGGGACUGAUAUGGCAAAGAAAAAGGAGAAUCUUGAUUGUGAAACGGAUUUCAAGACUCAUGAAUAUACUAGAUUUUUUGAUAAGCUGAUAGAGUUCAUCCCUGCAAGAUUCUACUUAGCAGAUGAGACAGAAAGGAAAUGGUUUCCAGGUCUUAGCAAGGGUCAAAAAGCUAGAGCGAAGAAAAUAACAAACUCCAACCUAAAGAAGGCGAGGAGAGAUAGGUUGGACCCA